Onychomys torridus (southern grasshopper mouse) is the source of this 2377-nucleotide long non-coding RNA. RefSeq lists it as uncharacterized. The transcript is spliced from 6 exons. The record is from RefSeq and is a predicted model, not a curated record. NCBI's taxonomy places the organism in Eukaryota, Metazoa, Chordata, Mammalia, Rodentia, Cricetidae.
CCCGGCUAAUAAAUAAAUCUUAAAAAAGAAAAUGUUAGGGAACAAAACUGUAGAAGUGUCUUCUUCCCUCUCCAUGUGUGUCUGACCUCUCCACGUGGUUUUAAUUUGCAUCUUCCUGCCAAUUCAUGCUACUUUUCAUGUGUUCACUGCUCAAUGUGAAUAUAUAUUUUGAUUCUGAGCAUUUCGCCAUUUUUAAAUGGGCUGUUUGUCUUUCUUUGUGUUGUUGCAGUUCUUGCCACAGUCUAGACGCCAGUCCUUUGUCAGACAUGCUUCCCCAGUAUUUCCUCAGAGGCUUGCCAUCUCUCCAGUCACUCUUCUUUUUCUUCAUGGUGUCAUUUGAUGAGCUGAAGUUUUAAAUUUUACUGGUUUCUGUGACUUAGGCACACUUUCUCCUCUGCUAAAAACCUUAUAGCUUUAAUGUUUAGGCAUAGCUCAUUUAUUUCUUAUUUCUGUCUUGAUGAUUUUCAGAGUAGAUCCUCUAAAGAAAUGUGAAAUAAUAGCCAGUUAAAAUUACUUUUAUUUAGUAACAAGUAAGUUUUAACAAGAUCAUGGGACUCCUAUUAAAUAUCUCUCUUGAGAAAAUGUAUGCAGGUUUGGAAUUACUGAAAAGACCAGAGCAUCUUCCAUAGUUACGUUCUGCCUUCCAGCAUGUACUUUAAGAGUAUUAGAGGUUCUUCUGAUGACAGGGCAACCUUGAUUUGCUUUAAACAUAUUGGUUCAGGUAUGGGUAUGGACUGUGCAUUUCUGGGUGACAGCCAGUACUAGCACAAGGAGUCACCUCCCAUGGGAACCUAUCAGGAAAAUAGGCAGGGUACCUUUUUCCUCGUGGCCCCAUUGGUCUUCAUGCUUGUUUUCUCUACACUUCUAGAUCUGAAAUAGUGUGACUGCUCUAUGUCCUGUUUCAUUCAAGUAUGGGGAGGGGAGGAGUCACAGCCGAGGACCCCUUCUACCACCCUGCCUUCCUCACAUGACGGGCUGCACCCUCACAUUGUGAACCAAACUAAACCCUCCUUUCAGGUGCUUUUCAGAUUUUUUUGUUGGUUAGUGGAAUUCUGAGAAUUCAUCCCAGCCCAACACUGAGGUGUACUUCUAGCCCUUACGUAGCUUUUUGUCACAGCAAAGAGAGGUAAUUCAUGUGGGAGAUGUGGCUCCCAUCUGCUAACUGAGUAGAGACACUGAUGAGUGAGCAAGCCAUUGGAUAUUCUCUUCAGCAGAGGGUGGUGGCUCAUUUAAACUCUCACAUAACACUUGUUCUGAAAAUAGGUUUCCUGAAGCUUAAGUAACCGUGGAUUAACUUUUGGCAAGACUGAAACAGUGGAAGCUAAGCAGAGCAUAGAACCUCAGAAUGCUGGGAAGCCAUACAUUGUCAUGGUUCUGCCUCAGUGCUCUGCAUAGUGCUUCCUUUGAAAUUUGCAGUAACAUUCUAAGGUUUUCACCAUUUAAUGCCUAGAAAUGCUGACACCGUUUGGCCAUUUCUUCAUGUUGUCCAGGCAGUACACCCAAGUAAGAUGAGGAAGCAUCCUCAGGUGGCUUAAAUAACUUGUCCAGAUUGUCCAAGAUCAAAGCUGACACAGUUUCCAGUGUAGCAAGAUGGCUUUUUAGACCUCAGAAGCAAUUCUCUUUCUUUUAAAAUAUCUGCAAAUAUUUGAAUUGAUGCUGCUAUCCAGAUUUUAGUGAAAGCUCCUGGACAGGUCUCAGCAACUCCAUGUCACUGUGGCAGACCAGAUGUGUGCAGAAGUCUGCAAGGAGAGUGUAGAACUUGGAACAGAUUGUCUUCUUAGGUGACACUCGAUGGACACAUGCCAUUGAAAUCAACCGGGACUAACUACUUUGUGUCUCCCAGAGCCCUUCCCAUGCCUGCCCUUCUUCCUCUUCUACUCAGGAAAUCAUGCUAUCAGGGUUGCAGAAAACAUAAACAGAUUCUGGCUAGAAUUUAUUGGAUGAACAGUCAGAUCCUGAAAUUUAGGAGUUGAAGCAGCAAGCAGUUUGAUGACACAAGCCGUGGAUCUCUGGGGCCUCAGAAGGAGAUUGUUAUGGAUCUUCCUCUGGAAUGUUGAUGCCUUUAUUUCUCAUUUUUAGUGACCUGUCAUCAGUUGCCAGGAAGAUGGGCUGUGUCCCAGAGCAUGGACACUGAUAUCAUUUCUCUGAUUCAGGAGUACUUCACAGGGCAAAGGGAAUGUUGGAACACUAAUAUAUUUUAAAGUUUCUUUUUGUAUUUUAUUUGAAAUGUUUAUGUAGUAUAGAAAAACUAAUUUUAGAGAUGACAAAUGUUAUUAAUUUAGAUAACAGUUUACCAUAAAAGAGAGACAUAAGAAAUAUUUAUGUGCUGGGCAGGCGGCAUAACUUGGUGGUGGAAUGCUUGGCUAGCAUGCAUGAG